Molecule: long non-coding RNA, 161 nt
Organism: Melanotaenia boesemani (Boeseman's rainbowfish)
Lineage: Eukaryota; Metazoa; Chordata; Actinopteri; Atheriniformes; Melanotaeniidae
Exons: 3
Source: RefSeq, a predicted model, not a curated record
GCAUCCAGUCAACGUCUUUUGAUCAGGGAAGACCUUGCAGAAUUCAGCAAGACAAUGUUAAACUACAUCCUGCAUCCACCACAACAACAUGGCUUCACAGGAGAAGAGUCCGGGUGCUGAACUGGCCUGCCUGCAGUCCAGAUCUUUCACCAGUAGAAAAC